Molecule: transfer RNA, 82 nt
Filed under: Actinomycetales bacterium
Lineage: Bacteria; Bacillati; Actinomycetota; Actinomycetes; Actinomycetales
Also listed under: 2 other names
Description: tRNA-Leu
Rfam family: tRNA
About the family: Transfer RNA (tRNA) molecules are approximately 80 nucleotides in length. Their secondary structure includes four short double-helical elements and three loops (D, anti-codon, and T loops).
Source: RNAcentral
GCGCUCGUGGUGGAACUGGCAGACACGCAGGAUUUAGGUUCCUGUGCCUUCGGGUGUGCGGGUUCAAGUCCCGCCGAGCGCA